UACAGAGGUGGCAAGCGUUGUUCGGAAUUACUGGGCGUAAAGGGCGCGUAGGCGGCCUUCUAAGUCAGACGUGAAAUCCCCAGGCUUAACUUGGGAACUGCGUGUGAUACUGGCGAGCUUGAGUGCAGGAGAGGAACGCGGAAUUCCAGGUGUAGCGGUGAAAUGCGUAGAUAUCUGGAGGAACACCGGUGGCGAAGGCGGCCCCCUGGUUGGAUACUGACGCUGAGACGCGAAAGCGUGGGGAGCAAACAGG
This 253-nucleotide ribosomal RNA is filed under the name uncultured bacterium. RNAcentral describes it as "partial 16S ribosomal RNA". It matches the Rfam family "Bacterial small subunit ribosomal RNA", at positions 524 to 776 of the family's 1533-position model. The record is from RNAcentral.